Molecule: ribosomal RNA, 691 nt
Filed under: fungal endophyte
Lineage: Eukaryota; Fungi
Description: eukaryotic LSU rRNA
Rfam family: Eukaryotic large subunit ribosomal RNA (bases 467-691)
Source: RNAcentral
UGUGAACAUACCUAACGUUGCCUCGGCAGGUCGCACCUACCUUGUAGCACCCUACCCUGUAGGGCCUACCCGGGAGGUGCGGGUAAGCCUGCCGGCGGCCCACCAAACUCUGUUUGAUAUUGAAUUCUGAACCUAUAACUAAAUAAGUUAAAACUUUCAACAACGGAUCUCUUGGUUCUGGCAUCGAUGAAGAACGCAGCGAAAUGCGAUAAGUAAUGUGAAUUGCAGAAUUCAGUGAAUCAUCGAAUCUUUGAACGCAUAUUGCGCCCAUUAGUAUUCUAGUGGGCAGGACCGUUCGAGCGUCAUUUCAACCCUUAAGCCUUCGUUGCUUAGUGUUGGGAGCCUACGGCAACGUAGCUCCUCAAAGUUAGUGGCGGAGUUGGUUCACACUCUAGACGUAGUAAUUUUUUAUCUCGCCUAUUAGUUGGACUAAUCCCCUGCCGUAAAACCCCCAAUUUAUCAAGGUUGACCUCGAAUCGGUUCAGACAAACUCGCUAAAUUGAAGCAUCUUAGUCAGCGAAGGAAAAGAAACCAACAGGGAUUGCCCUAGUAACGGCGAGUGAAGCGGCAACAGCUCAAAUUUGAAAUCUGGCCCUCGGGUCCGAGUUGUAAUUUGUAGAGGAUGCUUUUGGCGCGGUGCCUUCCGAGUUCCCUGGAACGGGACGCCUUAGAGGGUGAGAGCCCCGUACGG